AGAUAACUAACCUGAGGAAAAGAAACUACCUAGGAUCGCCUCAGUAACGGCGAGCGAAGCGGCAAGAGCUCAAACUGGAAAUCUCUGCUCCCGCGGGGCAGCGAAGCAUAAUAUAAAGGUGGGGUGCUAUAACGGAUGUGGAGCAGAAGUGUCUUAGAACGGACCGCCAGAGAGGGUGACAGCCCUGUGGUUGGUUCAUAUAUACGAUCAGCCCUUAGACGACGAGUGGGGAAGUUUUGUAUUGCACCCCUAAGUGGGAGAUAACAUUCUUUUAGGGCUAAAUAUCAUAUGUGGAAACCGAUAGCGCACAACAGCUGUGAAGGAAAGAUGAAAAGACCUUUGAAAAGAGAGUCAAAAGACUUGAAAUCUGUUGAGAAGGAAGCGGUAGAAAUUUCUUCUUCGCCAGUCAUUAUAGGUUUUCUCUUAUCUAUUCCGGAGCUAAGGUCCGCCAGCCCUGCCGUCGGUCUGGUGGAAGAGGGGUUGUCGUGGGUGUUGUGAGGCAAAAUGGGAUUGUAUUUCUGCAAAGGCGCUUGUCGCGUGGGGGGCUUCGCCUCUCAACGA
Molecule: ribosomal RNA, 561 nt
Filed under: uncultured fungus
Lineage: Eukaryota; Fungi
Description: eukaryotic LSU rRNA
Rfam family: Eukaryotic large subunit ribosomal RNA
Source: RNAcentral